Molecule: long non-coding RNA, 996 nt
Organism: Ochotona princeps (American pika)
Lineage: Eukaryota; Metazoa; Chordata; Mammalia; Lagomorpha; Ochotonidae
Exons: 5
Source: RefSeq, a predicted model, not a curated record
CCGCUCACCUCGGUAGCGGCGGGAGGCGAGAUGGCCCGCCGCGAGCAGCAGCACGGCCACCAGCGCCAGCACCUUGGCGCUCCUCACGCUGAAGUAGUGGUUGAUCUCCCGCUUGCCCAGCAAAUUGCAGCUCAACCCAUCGAUGGAUUAACAGAUUGUGUUAUCUACUUAACCUCCCCAAAUGAAAACUUACUAAAAACAUCUGUCAGGGAACUGUGAACUGAAGAUGAUUCUACUCGUAACACUGGCAUGCAAGAAGGACAAAUGUCAGGUUGGACUCACAUCACGACCCGCUUCACCAGGAGCGCCAUUGACCCCAGGACUGCCCACAGCACCGGGGGGUCCACGGGCACCAGGAGGACCAGCCAUGCCAAGAGGACCAGGUUCACCCUGUCAGGGCAGAGAAGACAAGACGUUACUCUCCUGGGAUGGAAGGCCAACCUCACCCUCCACAAACAGCUGUAGCCCAGAGAUCCGAGUUUGAAAAGCAAAGGUAAAGAAUGCCAGCAGCACCCCUCUCUCCUGGGAGGCCACCAGGCCCAGAUGCACCAGCAUUGCCCGGAGCACCAACCGCACCAGGUUCACCCUUGAAUCAAACACAUGUGAAAUCAAUUAUUUCAGUUGCAAAAGAAGAAAAAUGAUGGAUCAACCUCUCGAAGAAUUCCAAUUUAGACAUUUAAUAGAUAGCAUUCUUGCCUGUUCAGGGACACAAAAUAGGGCUAUUGAAAGGAGGAAGAAUGUUAUAGAGAAAAAUGUUAUUAAUGAUACAGUAACUAAAGUAAAGAGGGGAGUGGGAGUAGGUGACAGUGGCUCCUCCACCCAGUCCUCUUAAGAAGGAAAGACAGCUGCCGAGAAGAAGACAGGACAAUGGGGAACAAACAUUGCCCACAAACAUUUUCAAGGGCCCUGGAGGUCCAGAAGGACCCCGGCUCCCAAUAGGACCAGGAGGACCAGCAGCACCGCUCUCCCCAGGAGGACCGCGCUCCCCCUGGAAAA